This 252-nucleotide ribosomal RNA is filed under the name uncultured Bacteroidales bacterium. RNAcentral describes it as "partial 16S ribosomal RNA". It matches the Rfam family "Bacterial small subunit ribosomal RNA", at positions 524 to 776 of the family's 1533-position model. The record is from RNAcentral. Lineage: Bacteria; Pseudomonadati; Bacteroidota; Bacteroidia; Bacteroidales.
UACGGAGGAUGCGAGCGUUAUCCGGAUUUAUUGGGUUUAAAGGGUGCGUAGGCGGAACAUUAAGUCAGCGGUAAAAUCGAGGGGCUCAACCCCUUUAAGCCGUUGAAACUGGCAGACUUGAGUUGGCGAGAAGUACGCGGAAUGCGCGGUGUAGCGGUGAAAUGCAUAGAUAUCGCGCAGAACUCCGAUUGCGAAGGCAGCGUACCGGCGCCAGACUGACGCUGAGGCACGAAAGCGUGGGGAGCAAACAGG